ACCAUAUUUUGACAUAGAGAUUU
This 23-nucleotide small nuclear RNA is filed under the name Arabidopsis thaliana (thale cress). RNAcentral's name for it is "snRNA_03258". Lineage: Eukaryota; Viridiplantae; Streptophyta; Magnoliopsida; Brassicales; Brassicaceae. The record is from RNAcentral.